GACGAACGCUGGCGGCGUGCUUAACACAUGCAAGUCGAACGGAAAGGCCCUUCGGGGUACUCGAGUGGCGAACGGGUGAGUAACACGUGGGUGAUCUGCCCUGCACUUUGGGAUAAGCCUGGGAAACUGGGUCUAAUACCGGAUAUACCUCAUGGACUGCAUGGUUUGUGGGGGAAAGCUUUUGCGGUGUGGGAUGGGCCCGCGGCCUAUCAGCUUGUUGGUGAGGUUACGGCUCACCAAGGCGACGACGGGUAGCCGGCCUGAGAGGGUGACCGGCCACACUGGGACUGAGAUACGGCCCAGACUCCUACGGGAGGCAGCAGUGGGGAAUAUUGCACAAUGGGCGCAAGCCUGAUGCAGCGACGCCGCGUGAGGGAUGACGGCCUUCGGGUUGUAAACCUCUUUCAGCAGGGACGAAGCGCAAGUGACGGUACCUGUAGAAGAAGGACCGGCCAACUACGUGCCGGCAGCCGCGGUAAUACGUAGGGUCCGAGCGUUGUCCGGAAUUACUGGGCGUAAAGAGCUCGUAGGUGGUUUGUCGCGUUGUUCGUGAAAACUCACAGCUCAACUGUGGGCGUGCGGGCGAUACGGGCAGACUUGAGUACUGCAGGGGAGACUGGAAUUCCUGGUGUAGCGGUGGAAUGCGCAGAUAUCAGGAGGAACACCGGUGGCGAAGGCGGGUCUCUGGGCAGUAACUGACGCUGAGGAGCGAAAGCGUGGGGAGCGAACAGGAUUAGAUACCCUGGUAGUCCACGCCGUAAACGGUGGGUACUAGGUGUGGGUUUCCUUCCUUGGGAUCCGUGCAGUAGCUAACGCAUUAAGUACCCCGCCUGGGGAGUACGGCCGCAAGGCUAAAACUCAAAGAAAUUGACGGGGGCCCGCACAAGCGGCGGAGCAUGUGGAUUAAUUCGAUGCAACGCGAAGAACCUUACCUGGGUUUGACAUGCACAGGACGCUAGUAGAGAUAUCAGUUCCCUUGUGGCCUGUGUGCAGGUGGUGCAUGGCUGUCGUCAGCUCGUGUCGUGAGAUGUUGGGUUAAGUCCCGCAACGAGCGCAACCCUUAUCUUAUGUUGCCAGCGCGUAAUGGCGGGGACUCGUGAGAGACUGCCGGGGUCAACUCGGAGGAAGGUGGGGAUGACGUCAAGUCAUCAUGCCCCUUAUGUCCAGGGCUUCACACAUGCUACAAUGGCCGGUACAAAGGGCUGCGAUGCCGUGAGGUGGAGCGAAUCCUUUCAAAGCCGGUCUCAGUUCGGAUCGGGGUCUGCAACUCGACCCCGUGAAGUCGGAGUCGCUAGUAAUCGCAGAUCAGCAACGCUGCGGUGAAUACGUUCCCGGGCCU
RNAcentral lists this ribosomal RNA (1339 nucleotides) under uncultured bacterium. Its description in RNAcentral is "bacterial SSU rRNA". It matches the Rfam family "Bacterial small subunit ribosomal RNA", at positions 28 to 1381 of the family's 1533-position model. The record is from RNAcentral.